UUCUUCCUCUUACGUCACUGUCAAAGCUCACGUGAUGUGGCAAACUGACAGAGGGAAGGUGGUGAGGCGUGGCUUUCUGCUAAGGGGCGUGGUUAUGAUGAAUCUGGAGGUACCUGUCAUGAAUCUGCUGGAUUAGACCUCAGUGACUGUUCUUGGAGGUCCUGGCAGCUAAUAAACUCUAGGGGCUCGAUGAUUGAAAGCUCUCUGGGCUGGCGAGAUUAUUAAAGAAUGCUCGCCAGUCCUAUUUCCCUGGUGGAAUGAUCUAAUCCACUUUUUACCCUAAAACAGGCUGUCUCGCUAAGGAGCGUAUACUGCAUUUUCAUAUGAAAUGUGCACAACAAAAUUUGUAUUUUAAACAUCAUACAAAGCAAAAAUUUGAACCAUUAACACAAAAAUAAGCAGGGAAAAAUUGUAUUGUUAAGGUGUAUCAAAAAUCGUAACAAAAUUCUUCACCAAAAAUCGUAUGUUAACAAAAAAGUCAAAUUUGUAUGUAAUUUACACAGGAAUAAAUCAAAUUAAAUAUGCA
Molecule: long non-coding RNA, 526 nt
Organism: Bombina bombina (fire-bellied toad)
Lineage: Eukaryota; Metazoa; Chordata; Amphibia; Anura; Bombinatoridae
Exons: 2
Source: RefSeq, a predicted model, not a curated record